This 1000-nucleotide ribosomal RNA is filed under the name Citricoccus nitrophenolicus. RNAcentral's name for it is "bacterial SSU rRNA". It matches the Rfam family "Bacterial small subunit ribosomal RNA", at positions 43 to 1051 of the family's 1533-position model. Lineage: Bacteria; Bacillati; Actinomycetota; Actinomycetes; Micrococcales; Micrococcaceae. The record is from RNAcentral.
CCUGACUUACCCAUGCAAGUCGACGCUGAAGCUCCAGCUUGCUGGGGUGGAUGAGUGGCGAACGGGUGAGUAACACGUGAGUAACCUUCCCUUGACUCUGGGAUAAGCCCGGGAAACUGGGUCUAAUACCGGAUACGACCUCCUGCCGCAUGGUGUGGGGGUGGAAAGAUUUAUCGGUCUUGGAUGGACUCGCGGCCUAUCAGCUUGUUGGUGAGGUAAUGGCUCACCAAGGCGACGACGGGUAGCCGGCCUGAGAGGGUGACCGGCCACACUGGGACUGAGACACGGCCCAGACUCCUACGGGAGGCAGCAGUGGGGAAUAUUGCACAAUGGGCGCAAGCCUGAUGCAGCGACGCCGCGUGAGGGAUGACGGCCUUCGGGUUGUAAACCUCUUUCAGUAGGGAAGAAGCGAAAGUGACGGUACCUGCAGAAGAAGCGCCGGCUAACUACGUGCCAGCAGCCGCGGUAAUACGUAGGGCGCGAGCGUUAUCCGGAAUUAUUGGGCGUAAAGAGCUCGUAGGCGGUUUGUCGCGUCUGCCGUGAAAGUCCGGGGCUUAACCCCGGAUCUGCGGUGGGUACGGGCAGACUAGAGUGCAGUAGGGGAGACUGGAAUUCCUGGUGUAGCGGUGAAAUGCGCAGAUAUCAGGAGGAACACCGAUGGCGAAGGCAGGUCUCUGGGCUGUUACUGACGCUGAGGAGCGAAAGCAUGGGGAGCGAACAGGAUUAGAUACCCUGGUAGUCCAUGCCGUAAACGUUGGGCACUAGGUGUGGGGGACAUUCCACGUUUUCCGCGCCGCAGCUAACGCAUUAAGUGCCCCGCCUGGGGGAGUACGGCCGCAAGGCUAAAACUCAAAGGAAUUGACGGGGGCCCGCACAAGCGGCGGAGCAUGCGGAUUAAUUCGAUGCAACGCGAAGAACCUUACCAAGGCUUGACAUGUUCCCGACCGGGCCAGAGAUGGUCUUUCCUCUUUGGGGCGGGUUCACAGGUGGUGCAUGGAUG